UCUUCUUGGUUUAUGUGUGUCCCCAUCAAUUGGUUAGAAGGAGUUGCCUAUUGUUGGGUUUCUUCAAUUAUUGGGACUUGAGUUCCUUUGGGCCGACUUUCUUGAUCGUGGGAUGCUCUAGAAGGUUAUUAUAUGGGAACACUGUGAAUAUCCUUACUUGAUUUAGGGGCGACCCCAGUAGUUCGUUUGCCCUAGUUAGUUUUUCUUCAUGAAUGGGAAUUCGUGUCCCACCAAGUGGACUUUCUCAGUCUUGGGGUGCUCUAUUGAUGGAGGCAUGCCCUUGGCUUUAUUAUAUUCUAGAUGCUCAUCUUAUUUCGGUUAUCCUUUCCAAGUGGGUU
Molecule: long non-coding RNA, 338 nt
Filed under: Amborella trichopoda
Lineage: Eukaryota; Viridiplantae; Streptophyta; Magnoliopsida; Amborellales; Amborellaceae
Description: long non-coding RNA (ATRI_LNC003730)
Source: RNAcentral